GCCAGUGAUCUCCAGUGAGGACCGCUUUGCCCUUGGCAUAAGGAACUUGGAGACUGCCACCUGGGGCUCUGCACCAGCAGUGCUUGCAGCCUUCCCUGAUGGGCAGGAGGUGAGUUCCCAGAGAGCAGGGCUCUACCAGUGUGCUGAUUAGGCAGAAGCCCUGAGAGGGCGCAUUCCUUCCUUACCAGAGCUUGGAACAGAUUCAUGGC
This 209-nucleotide long non-coding RNA is filed under the name Mus spretus (western wild mouse). RNAcentral describes it as "predicted gene, 25043 (ENSMSPG00010025472.1)". The stretch from base 50 to 209 matches the Rfam family "Nuclear RNase P", at positions 75 to 229 of the family's 301-position model. Rfam says of the family: Ribonuclease P (RNase P) is a ubiquitous endoribonuclease, found in archaea, bacteria and eukarya as well as chloroplasts and mitochondria. Its best characterised activity is the generation of mature 5'-ends of tRNAs by cleaving the 5'-leader elements of precursor-tRNAs. Lineage: Eukaryota; Metazoa; Chordata; Mammalia; Rodentia; Muridae. The record is from RNAcentral.